ACCUGGUUGAUCCUGCCAGUAGUCAUAUGCUUGUCUCAAAGAUUAAGCCAUGCAUGUCUAAGUACACGCCCUAGCAAGGCGAAACCGCGAAUGGCUCAUUAAAUCAGUUAUGGUUCCUUAGAUCGUACACAUUUACUUGGAUAACUGUGGUAAUUCUAGAGCUAAUUCAUGCAAUUGAGCCCUCGUCCCUUUUAGGGUGAGGGUGCUUUUAUUAGACCAAGACCAAACGGGGGCAACUCCGAUAGUCGUGGUGACUCUGAAUAACUAUGGCGGAUCGCACAGUCCUAGCACUGGCGACGCAUCUUUCAAGUGUCUGCCUUAUCAACUUUCGAUGGUAGGUUAUGCGCCUACCAUGGUUGUUACGGGUAACGGGGAAUCAGGGUUCGAUUCCGGAGAGGGAGCCUGAGAAACGGCUACCACAUCCAAGGAAGGCAGCAGGCGCGCAAAUUACCCACUCCCGGCACGGGGAGGUAGUGACGAAAAAUAACAAUACGGGACUCUAACGAGGCUCCGUAAUUGGAAUGAGUACACUCUAAACCUUUUAACGAGGAUCUAUUGGAGGGCAAGUCUAGUGCCAGCAGCCGCGGUAACUCUAGCUCCAAUAGCGUAUAUUAAAGUUGUUGCGGGUUCUCUCUCUCUCUCUCUCUCUCUCUUCUAUUAAAUAAAUAAAUAUGCUUUACCAAAUUCAGAAACAAAUUUUAAUUAUAUAUCUUUCUAAUGUCAAACAUACACUUUUUAAUAUAUUCAUAACAACAACAAUAAUUACAGUGCUGCCAAAUCUAAACAAUCAAAAUAAAUUAAUUAAACAGAGUAUAUUAUAAUAUUAUUAUAAGGUAUAUUACAACUUCUCGACUUCAAGCGACUUCAUCCCUCCUGGGAUGUCGAUGCAGAUAAGGUUGGAUAUUGGAGAUGUGAGCGUUCUUGGAGUUUUAUCAUCAGACUCAUAUUCAACAUAUUUGGGGUGGCCAUCCAUUUUGGUUACCCUUGUCACUCGAUGCGGACCAGAUAGCUUCCAUUCCUUUCCAACCUUCUGAUGUCUUACCAGAAUAUAAUCUUCGAUACUCAUCUCUGGUGGCAGGGCCAUUUUACGACUGUUAAAAUAAAACUUUGUUCUUUGUCAGUAGAGGUUUUGCUCAAUUUGACUUUUUUUCUGCUUCAUAAAGGGGACAGUGAAGAUUAAGUACUUUUCGGCAGGUAAAACAGGGGAAGUUUUUGUAAGUUUGAAUAAAGGGGAGCAACCCAGGUAGGAGUUGUAGGAUCUAUUAUGGUAGCGUACUGCCGCUUCUAAGGCAUUUUUCAUCCACCCUUGAAGUGAGGAUAGCACGAGAGAAAGGUCUUUAUAUCUCGUAUAGCUCGUUUCGCUAAACCAUUUCCUGCAGGGUGAUAAGGAGAAGUAGUUAUUAAUCGGAUGUCUUUGGAGGUUGCCCACCUAGGGAAUUCUCCAUACAAAAUGAUCUCCCUUGAUCAGAAACUAUAGUUCUCACUGAUUUCAGAUCCUCAUGCUCGUUGAAAUAUUUUAUUAGAGCACGGCCAUGUUGUUUCAUUGCCUUUGCUUGAACCACCCUAGUAGCCUCGUCAAUAAUUAGUAAAAAUGUUGAAUUCUUAUCCUUGAUGUUAGAAGGAACCUCGGCGAAAUCUACAUGUACAGUAUAGAAAGGUACCCUUGAUUGAUGGGGCAAACUCACCUUUGAAGGACUGCUCUUAUACUUGAACUUGACCCUUUGACAGAUAGGACAAGAAGAUACAUAUUUCCUUAUGUCAUUCUUCAUACCAGGCCAAA
This 1780-nucleotide ribosomal RNA is filed under the name Cordylochernes scorpioides. RNAcentral's name for it is "5.8S ribosomal RNA". The stretch from base 3 to 613 matches the Rfam family "Eukaryotic small subunit ribosomal RNA", at positions 4 to 605 of the family's 1831-position model. The record is from RNAcentral. Lineage: Eukaryota; Metazoa; Arthropoda; Arachnida; Pseudoscorpiones; Chernetidae.